This 465-nucleotide ribosomal RNA is filed under the name uncultured bacterium. RNAcentral's name for it is "partial 16S ribosomal RNA". It matches the Rfam family "Bacterial small subunit ribosomal RNA", at positions 28 to 507 of the family's 1533-position model. The record is from RNAcentral.
GACGAACGCUGGCGGCGUGCUUAACACAUGCAAGUCGAACCGAAAGGCCCUGCUUGCAGGGUACUCGAGUGGCGAACGGGUGAGUAACACGUGGGUGAUCUGCCCUGCACUUCGGGAUAAGCCUGGGAAACUGGGUCUAAUACCGGAUAGGAGCCAUUUUUAGUGUGAUGGUUGGAAAGUUUUUUCGGUGUAGGAUGAGCUCGCGGCCUAUCAGCUUGUUGGUGGGGUAAUGGCCUACCAAGGCGGCGACGGGUAGCCGGCCUGAGAGGGUGGACGGCCACAUUGGGACUGAGAUACGGCCCAGACUCCUACGGGAGGCAGCAGUGGGGAAUAUUGCACAAUGGGCGCAAGCCUGAUGCAGCGACGCCGCGUGGGGGAUGACGGCCUUCGGGUUGUAAACUCCUUUCGCUAGGGACGAAGCUUUUUGUGACGGUACCUAGAUAAGAAGCACCGGCUAACUACGUG